This 275-nucleotide long non-coding RNA is filed under the name Elaeis guineensis (African oil palm). Its description in RNAcentral is "long non-coding RNA (EGUI_LNC041542)". Lineage: Eukaryota; Viridiplantae; Streptophyta; Magnoliopsida; Arecales; Arecaceae. The record is from RNAcentral.
AUUCCCUUCACUUUUAACAGCACCUUUUGUAACAAUUAUGCUAAAUCUUUACUAUUAUAGAUGGAGGCCACUUAUCCUUGCUUCAGCAUACUACACACCUUUUGUUCAAGUUCAAAGUUUGGCUGGGUUACUCAGAUUAAUAUUCCUUUUCUAACGAUUUUUAUACCUUUUGGAUCUACUGUAUUAUUCAUAGUUGUUGUUUCUUUUGUUUUCUUUUUACUUUUUGAACUUAGUCCUCUCCGUUUACUAAUGCAAAUGUUUGUAUUGGGGCUAUG